CCUACGGGAGGCUGCAGUGAGGAAUAUUGCACAAUGGGGGAGACCCUGAUGCAGCGACGCCGCGUGAGUGAAGACGUAUUUCGGUAUGUAAAGCUCUAUCAGCAGGGAAGCAAAUGACGGUACCUGUUUCGGAAGCCCCGGCUAAAUACGUGCCAGCAGCCGCGGUAAUGAGUCGGGGGCCAGCGUUAUCCGGAUUUACUGGGUGUAAAGGGGGCGUAGACGGCAGAACAAGUCUGGAGUGAAAUGCCGGUGCUUAACCCCGGAACUGCUUUGGAAACUGUGCAGCUAGAGUGCAGGAGAGGUAAGUGGAAUUCGUAGUGUAGCGGUGAAAUGCGUAGAUAUUAGGAGGAACACCAGUGGCGAAGGCGGCUUACUGGACUGUAACUGACGUUGAGGCUCGAAAGCGUGGGGAGCAAACAGGAUUAGAUACCCGAGUAGUC
Molecule: ribosomal RNA, 440 nt
Filed under: uncultured bacterium
Lineage: Bacteria
Description: partial 16S ribosomal RNA
Rfam family: Bacterial small subunit ribosomal RNA
Source: RNAcentral